Molecule: ribosomal RNA, 253 nt
Filed under: uncultured bacterium
Lineage: Bacteria
Description: partial 16S ribosomal RNA
Rfam family: Bacterial small subunit ribosomal RNA
Source: RNAcentral
GACGAAGGAUGCAAGCGUUAUCCGGAUUCAUUGGGUUUAAAGGGUGCGUAGGCGGCCAGAUAAGUCAGUGGUGAAAUCUCCUUGCUUAACAAGGAAACUGCCAUUGAUACUGUUUGGCUUGAGUAUAGUUGCUGUGGGCGGAAUAUGACAUGUAGUGGUGAAAUACAUAGAGAUGUCAUAGAACACCGAUUGCGAAGGCAGCUCACAAAACUAUAACUGACGCUGAGGCACGAAAGUGCGGGGAGCAAACAGG